This 405-nucleotide ribosomal RNA is filed under the name uncultured bacterium. Its description in RNAcentral is "bacterial SSU rRNA". It matches the Rfam family "Bacterial small subunit ribosomal RNA", at positions 355 to 776 of the family's 1533-position model. The record is from RNAcentral.
UAGGGAAUUUUGCGCAAUGGGCGAAAGCCUGACGCAGCAACGCCGCGUGAUUGAUUAAGCCCUUCGGGGUGUAAAGAUCUGUCAGUGGGGACGAAACUUGACGGUACCCACAGAGGAAGCACCGGCUAACUCCGUGCCAGCAGCCGCGGUAAUACGGAGGGUGCAAGCGUUGUCCGGAAUCAUUGGGCGUAAAGAGUUCGUAGGUGGCAUAUUAAGUCUGGUGUUAAAUGCAGAAGCUCAACUUCUGUUCGGCACUGGAUACUGGUAAGCUUGAAUGCGGUAGAGGUAAAGGGAAUUCCUGGUGUAGCGGUGAAAUGCGUAGAUAUCAGGAGGAACAUCGGUGGCGUAAGCGCUUUACUGGGCCGUAAUUGACACUGAGGAACGAAAGCCGGGGUAGCAAAUGGG